GACGAACGCUGGCGGCGUGCCUAAUACAUGCAAGUAGAACGCAGUUGCGAACGGGUGAGUAACGCGUAGGUAACUGCCUGGUAGCGGGGGAUAACUAUUGGAAACGCUAGCUAAUACCGCAUACUACCAGAUGGACCUGCGUUGUAUUAGCUAGUUGGUGGGGUAACGGCUCACCAAGGCAACGAAAAUUAGCCGAACUGAGAUGGGUGUCGGCCACACUGGGGCUGAGACACGGACCAGACGCCUACGGGAGGCAGCAGUAGGGAAUCUGCGGCAAUGGGGGGAACCCUGACCGAGCAACGCCGCGUGAGUGAAGAAGGUUUUCGGAUCGUAAAGCUCUGUUGUUAAGGAAGCGGUACUUAACCAGAAAGGGACGGCUAACUACGUGCCAGCAGCCGCGGUAAUUC
This 407-nucleotide ribosomal RNA is filed under the name uncultured bacterium. RNAcentral describes it as "partial 16S ribosomal RNA". It matches the Rfam family "Bacterial small subunit ribosomal RNA", at positions 28 to 526 of the family's 1533-position model. The record is from RNAcentral.